Molecule: long non-coding RNA, 812 nt
Organism: Priapulus caudatus
Lineage: Eukaryota; Metazoa; Priapulida; Priapulimorpha; Priapulimorphida; Priapulidae
Exons: 3
Source: RefSeq, a predicted model, not a curated record
CCGCCCUUUGGCAUAUAUAAGGCCCGGCUGGAGAGGCAGAAACACAAACUGCGUCCGGCGGCUUUGGAUCAUCCUACUCAGACACCGUUUUUGCGUACACACCCGGCAUCACCAUGAAGAAGUUGGUACAAGUUAUGCUCCUCGUUCUCGUUGCUUCGCUGUUGGUCACCUCAGCGUCAGCACAUUACGGAGGCUACAGACGCUAUGGUGGCUAUGGAGGCUAUGGAGGCUACAGACGCUAUGGCGGCUUUGGAUACCGACGACGCUACGGAGGUUACGGCGGUUACGGCGGUUACGGCGGUUACGGCGGCUACCGACGAUUCUAUCCACGUUUCGGCGGAGGUUACAGGCGUUUCGGAUAUUAUGGAUAAAGGAACUUUGUCUGGAACUUGUUUCGAAUGGAUUUUGGAUUAUGUAUGUUCCCCCCCCCCAAAAAAAAAGCGCAGUCUGGGCGUCCUAUACUAGCUGUCACAAUAUCUUUUAUUGGUUAUAAUCACUAGUAUAAACGUUAGAAUAGAUCCUAAGAUUCUAUUACGGGUACAUACAUAAUUAUUUUCUCUGAAAUAUUUCUUUAUUUACUUUGCAAAACCUGGCUAUUAGUCGCCUAUAGUCAGUGAAAUGACAGUUGUAUACUGCCAAUCUAUGAAACAAAAUAUGAGCACGCAUUGUACUAUUCAUGCGAAUAUUGAGCUCUCUCAUACAUUUCUGUAUUCUUCCAUGUAUAUAUCAGAUAAAAUAGAUUCAAUUAACCACCACUGGUAGUUUACCAAAUGUGUAUGACAAUAAAUCUAUUCUAUAUUUCAUAAAAUAUA